Oenanthe melanoleuca is the source of this 685-nucleotide long non-coding RNA. RefSeq lists it as uncharacterized. NCBI's taxonomy places the organism in Eukaryota, Metazoa, Chordata, Aves, Passeriformes, Muscicapidae. The transcript is spliced from 5 exons. The record is from RefSeq and is a predicted model, not a curated record.
AGGAGAACACGAGAAUUGUCAGAGUGAAGGUUAUAGCUGGAAUUGGCCUGGCCAAGAAGGAUAUCUUAGGAGCCAGUGACCCAUAUGUGAAAGUGACAUUGUAUGAUCCAGUGAAUGGAGUCCUUACCAGUAUUCAGACAAAAACUAUUAGAAAGUCCUUAAACCCAAAAUGGAAUGAAGAACUCUUAUUUAGAGUUAAUCCUCAGAAGCACAGACUCCUUUUUGAAGUAUUUGAUGAAAACCGUUUGUGCUGUUCAUGUGAUAGGACCAAAUUCUUUGGUGAUGUUGAAAGCUCUGCACUGGAUGUUUAUUUUUCCCUACAAACAAAGCACUGUUUAUAUUUGGUGUGAGAAGCUUCUUCAGUGUGUGAGGAGUAGCAUGAAAGAAAGCAUACAUGGAUUUUCUUUGGAAAGCUCAAGAAGUGAACACUGGAUUGUAAUCUUGUAGAUAGGUGUCACUCUGAAUGGCUGGUCACUGGUGAGAUGGGGCUAGCUUGUGCUUUUAUCACAGUGAAAUCAAAAUUUCUCCUCUGACCCAAGCUCUCAUUUUGUGUACAGAUGUCUAAUUACCUGUAUUUGUUUGUGUGUUUCAUUGUGAGUAAGCUUGUAGCAGUACAGUCUUGACACCUGCAUCUGUUUCACUGAAGUUCCUUGUCACUGGAAUAAAUACCUUUCCCUUCUGCAGG